AUGCAUGUACGUAUGCAAGCUUUUAUUUUUAGUAGGCACAGGCAGCACAACACCCAAUAAGUCUUCAUUUCGACCCAAGACAGACGUGCAAAGCCCAUAUGUAUUAUUGUACGUUGCUCAGCAGCUAAGAAACAUAUGGUCACGGAACGGGUCUGUCGGAGCGAUUAAAUUACUGCCACCUAAAGACAACUUACGUCAACGGCACGGAUCAUUGUCUGCAGAUUUGUUAUCUCUGCAGAUGACUUUGUGAUAAAAACUGUUCAUUUCGUCAUAUAAGUUGUCAUUUGGCUCUGAUCAGGUCCUCCUUAAAGAUGGUGGUCAUGAAAGAUUCGGACUCUGUACUGUUUGUAGUAGUGGUACUUAUCACUGUCUUCAUCUCAUGCGGCAUCUCUGAAGGAGCAGUGAUGUGGUCGACAGAACCUUGUCCACCUGGCAUAAAUCCAGGCGAGGAGUGGUUUCCUGAGGACUUAGGGUGCACAAGGUGUGCUUGCUUCAGCCUUGAAAGGCAGCCUGGGUUUUCUUGUGCCACAUGUGGUGUUGCAGCAAUGUCGCUCAGCAGACAAGAGUGUUAUGCAGACAAGACUAGCCCUGAGGAGAAUUACCCUGAGUGCUGUAGGGUGCAGGAGUUCUGUCCAGGACAUGAGCGCUACAAUGCCUCCAAGGCAGGAAUAACAGUGGUUGGUUGAAAACACCUGGUGAAACCACCACUUUGCAGCUGUUGAGUUUUGGCGGAUACGAAAAAAAAAAAGUGGCCAACUGUUACAAUAUAGAAGAAAUAAAGCUUAUCUUUCACUAAAAAUAAAAAGUAGCAGAUUUUAACCACCAGCUGUUAUACAUUUCUGGUGUAUGCUGUAUUAUCCCUUUGAGCAAGACUGUUUUCAACAGAUGAGAAGAGUGGAAUGGGGGAAAUCAUUUUAAAGUGCUUAUUUUCACUAACACUUUGAGAAUUUUUUAGGCAGACAUGUUAAAAAUAGUAGCAACUUUCACUUUAUAAUAAAUAUAGUGACUUUACUGCUUGUAGCGCCUAGAGGAGUAACCAAGAGUGGAAUACACAUGGACUUGGAUAUUUUUGGAAGCCUGCUAUAAGUUCAAUGGUCAUGAAUGAGCAUAAGUCAGUACAAAGUUUUAAACGUCCCACAUAUAGACCUCAUUGAAAGCAGUGUCAAAAAGCGCAUGAACUGGCUAUAACCUUCCCUUAGCCAGGAAUCACCACAAAGCAUUAGGUCUUAUCUUUCAAAAUGUUUCUGAUCAAGAGAUAAAACUGAAGAUACAUUAAAACAAGUUUAUAUCUGGAUUGGAGAAGACAGCAGCUGUGUUGGAGAUAUUGGAGUUUUCUACAACUACUAUGAGGGCUUGGGGCUGCUGUGGUUUUGUGGCAUUAACCACUGCCAUUCUUUGGUGGUGCGGCACCAGUAAUGGUGCUGUAUUCUGGUCAUCAGAUCCCUGUCCAGCCAAUAUAAAACCUGGAGAAAGUUGGAUUCCGAGUGGCAUGUACUGUGCAAUGUGUCUUUGUGCCAGUACUGGUACAAUGACUGGUUAUGAAUGCCAGACCUGUGGCGUGGCAGCAAUACCAUUAAGUAGUGCAGCCUGUUACAUAGAUAAUGACAAACCAGAAGCGGCCUAUCCACAAUGCUGUGACCUUAAGGAGUUCUGUCCAGGAAAUGCACGCUACAAUGCAUCCAAGGCAGGAACUGGUGGAAUUGUUGGUUGAAGGAUAAACUGAUAAUCAGCUGCUUGUCAAGAGACCAAAGAGUCAACAUUUCCACCACAAUGGUUUACUGAUUAUGCACUUAUUAUUUUUUCAUUGUUAAUAAACACAUAGUUCCACAAGUAA
Long non-coding RNA from Pomacea canaliculata, 1834 nucleotides. RefSeq lists it as uncharacterized. The record is from RefSeq and is a predicted model, not a curated record. NCBI's taxonomy places the organism in Eukaryota, Metazoa, Mollusca, Gastropoda, Architaenioglossa, Ampullariidae. The transcript has 5 exons.